AAACUGAAGAGUUUGAUCCUGGCUCAGAUUCAACGCUGGCGGCAUGCCUAACACAUGCAAGUCGAACGCGAAAAGUCCUUCGGGGCUGAGUAGAGUGGCGGACGGGUGAGUAACGCGUGGGAAUCUGCCCAGUAGUG
RNAcentral lists this ribosomal RNA (137 nucleotides) under Nitrosomonas sp. Its description in RNAcentral is "partial 16S ribosomal RNA". It matches the Rfam family "Bacterial small subunit ribosomal RNA", at positions 1 to 138 of the family's 1533-position model. Lineage: Bacteria; Pseudomonadati; Pseudomonadota; Betaproteobacteria; Nitrosomonadales; Nitrosomonadaceae. The record is from RNAcentral.